GUCAUCUUCUGGCCAGAAUGGAGAAGUUUGCUUGAUGAAAUUGGCAAAUGUUUUUGCUAGUCACAACUGGGGAAUGCAGAAGGUCCUUACUCACACAGGACCACCAAUGCCGUGUCCAAUCUGAUAAUGAAGAUAAUCCAAAAUAACAGAUGUACCCUGGUUGGAGCCAGCGUUUAAAGACAUAUAAACAGAGGCUGAGCUAAGCAAGAGAAGUGACAAAGGAAAAGAAUGACCAUGGGGAGACAUUUUAAAGGUUCUCCAGGAAAUGCCACUGAGCAAUCGAACUCAGAAGCACCAGACUCUGAGGACCAAGAGACAGCUGAUGCAAGGCCAAGAAAAAACAAAUAAAUAAAGCCUGAGAAAGGAGCAGUGAUGUGACUCACGUUUCUUCUGACUCUCUUUUGAAUUCAGUCGUGGUGAUA
Diceros bicornis minor is the source of this 422-nucleotide long non-coding RNA. RefSeq lists it as uncharacterized. The record is from RefSeq and is a predicted model, not a curated record. The transcript has 3 exons. Lineage: Eukaryota; Metazoa; Chordata; Mammalia; Perissodactyla; Rhinocerotidae.